This 207-nucleotide ribosomal RNA is filed under the name uncultured bacterium. RNAcentral's name for it is "partial 16S ribosomal RNA". It matches the Rfam family "Bacterial small subunit ribosomal RNA", at positions 568 to 774 of the family's 1533-position model. The record is from RNAcentral.
CACGUAGGCGGACUGGAAAGUUGGAGGUGAAAUCCCAGGGCUCAACCUUGGAACUGCCUUCAAAACUAUCAGUCUGGAGUUCGAGAGAGGUGAGUGGAAUUCCGAGUGUAGAGGUGAAAUCCGUAGAUAUUCGGAGGAACACCAGUGGCGAAGGCGGCUCACUGGCUCGAUACUGACGCUGAGGUGCGAAAGCGUGGGGAGCAAACA